RNAcentral lists this ribosomal RNA (253 nucleotides) under uncultured bacterium. Its description in RNAcentral is "partial 16S ribosomal RNA". It matches the Rfam family "Bacterial small subunit ribosomal RNA", at positions 524 to 776 of the family's 1533-position model. The record is from RNAcentral.
UACAGAGGUCCCGAGCGUUGUUCGGAUUCAUUGGGCGUAAAGGGUGCGCAGGCGGCGUGGAAAGUUGAGUGUGAAAUCCCGGGGCUUAACCUCGGAACUGCACUCAAUACUCCCAUGCUAGAGGACUGUAGAGGAGAUCGGAAUUCACGGUGUAGCAGUGAAAUGCGUAGAUAUCGUGAGGAAGACCAGUUGCGAAGGCGGAUCUCUGGGCAGUUCCUGACGCUCAUGCACGAAGGCCAGGGGAGCAAACGGG